Long non-coding RNA from Oncorhynchus tshawytscha (Chinook salmon), 524 nucleotides. The record is from Ensembl. NCBI's taxonomy places the organism in Eukaryota, Metazoa, Chordata, Actinopteri, Salmoniformes, Salmonidae.
UGCACACCACUGUUAUACUGCUCCGCUACUUGUCUAUUUGUGGCCCGCCAAUACUUGCCAUUCUUCUUUGACCUCUCUCAUCAACAUGCUGUUUUCGCCCCCCACAGGACUACAUCUGACUGGACAUUUUUUGUUUGUCGCACCAUUAUUGCUAAACCCUAGACACUGUCAUGCAUGAAAAGUCCAGAAGGGCAGCAAAUAUCUAAGAUACUGGAUCCUGCUUGCCAGGCACCGAAGAUCAUACCACACUCAGUGGCUUAGGUUUGGGAGAGGCGAAGGUGAAGUCAGUCCGAAACAUGACCUGCCUAAUCGUGCUCCAUAACACCCGCCAGCCUAACCUGGAAGCCUACCGCACCAAUGUUUCAGAGGAAACACCAUUCAACUGGCGACCGGGGUCAACCCAGAAUUGCAUACAAGAUCCUCCCUUGCCCUCCUUUUGGCAAAUCUGACCACAACUGUAUUCUCCUGCUUCUUCUUUACAAACAAAAGCUCAAAUUGACUUUCCAGUGUCGUGCUCAACACGG